AUCAAGGCAAGGGUGAAAAGGUGUGGUAAGAGCACACCGGUUUUUUGGUAACAAAGAACGCAUGGAAAACCCCACCGAGAGCAAGACCAAAUAGAGAUGGCGAUGUUUUAUAUUAAAACAAUAAUCGUCUUUGGUUAGCCAUCAGGGUUGGUUGCUUGAGCUAAAGGGAGACUUUUAGCCUAGAUAAAUGACUUGUUUAAAUGACAAAACCCGGCUUACAGUUUAUCUGGCAAA
RNAcentral lists this RNase P RNA (234 nucleotides) under Candidatus Pelagibacteraceae bacterium. Its description in RNAcentral is "partial RNase P RNA component class A". It matches the Rfam family "Bacterial RNase P class A", at positions 142 to 367 of the family's 367-position model. From Rfam's summary of the family: Ribonuclease P (RNase P) is a ubiquitous endoribonuclease, found in archaea, bacteria and eukarya as well as chloroplasts and mitochondria. The record is from RNAcentral. Lineage: Bacteria; Pseudomonadati; Pseudomonadota; Alphaproteobacteria; Candidatus Pelagibacterales; Candidatus Pelagibacteraceae.